Molecule: long non-coding RNA, 203 nt
Filed under: Elaeis guineensis (African oil palm)
Lineage: Eukaryota; Viridiplantae; Streptophyta; Magnoliopsida; Arecales; Arecaceae
Description: long non-coding RNA (EGUI_LNC060679)
Source: RNAcentral
AGCAGGCUAAAUUUUCUUAGAGAAAAAAAUUCAAUUUGAAGAGGACUGUUCCGGCUGAUCCCGAAUGGAUACCCAUAGAGGUCAGACACUUGUGUGACUAGAAAAAAAUAUCUUCUCUUCUAAAUCUAGAUUUAAAUAAAAGAAUUAUGAAACAGAUAUACGAUUUGAUUACAAUCUAAAUUUCAGCAUUUAUCAAUUUCAGC